RNAcentral lists this ribosomal RNA (253 nucleotides) under uncultured bacterium. Its description in RNAcentral is "partial 16S ribosomal RNA". It matches the Rfam family "Bacterial small subunit ribosomal RNA", at positions 524 to 776 of the family's 1533-position model. The record is from RNAcentral.
UACGUAGGUGGCAAGCGUUGUCCGGAUUUACUGGGUGUAAAGGGCGUGCAGCCGGGCUGACAAGUCAGAUGUGAAAUCCCGCGGCUCAACCGCGGAACUGCAUUUGAAACUGUCAGUCUUGAGUACCGGAGAAGUACGCGGAAUGCGUGGUGUAGCGGUGAAAUGCAUAGAUAUCACGCAGAACCCCGAUUGCGAAGGCAGCGUACCGGCCGGUCACUGACGCUGAGGCACGAAAGCGCGGGUAUCGAACAGG